Molecule: ribosomal RNA, 133 nt
Filed under: uncultured bacterium
Lineage: Bacteria
Description: partial 16S ribosomal RNA
Rfam family: Bacterial small subunit ribosomal RNA
Source: RNAcentral
UGGGGAAUAUUGGACAAUGGGGGCAACCCUGAUCCAGCCAUGCCGCGUGAGUGAUGAAGGCCUUCGGGUUGUAAAGCUCUUUUGGCGGGGACGAUGAUGACGGUACCCGCAGAAUAAGCCCCGGCUAACUUCG